GGAAUCUUCCGCAAUGGACGAAAGUCUGACGGAGCAACGCCGCGUGAGUGAUGAAGGCUUUCGGGUCGUAAAACUCUGUUGUUAGGGAAGAACAAGUGCUAGUUGAAUAAGCUGGCACCUUGACGGUACCUAACCAGAAAGCCACGGCUAACUACGUGCCAGCAGCCGCGGUAAUACGUAGGUGGCAAGCGUUAUCCGGAAUUAUUGGGCGUAAAGCGCGCGCAGGUGGUUUCUUAAGUCUGAUGUGAAAGCCCACGGCUCAACCGUGGAGGGUCAUUGGAAACUGGGAGACUUGAGUGCAGAAGAGGAAAGUGGAAUUCCAUGUGUAGCGGUGAAAUGCGUAGAGAUAUGGAGGAACACCAGUGGCGAAGGCGACUUUCUGGUCUGUAACUGACACUGAGGCGCGAAAGCGUGGGGAGCAAACA
RNAcentral lists this ribosomal RNA (425 nucleotides) under uncultured Bacillus sp. RNAcentral's name for it is "bacterial SSU rRNA". It matches the Rfam family "Bacterial small subunit ribosomal RNA", at positions 358 to 774 of the family's 1533-position model. The record is from RNAcentral. Lineage: Bacteria; Bacillati; Bacillota; Bacilli; Caryophanales; Bacillaceae.